Oncorhynchus tshawytscha (Chinook salmon) is the source of this 465-nucleotide long non-coding RNA. Lineage: Eukaryota; Metazoa; Chordata; Actinopteri; Salmoniformes; Salmonidae. The record is from Ensembl.
GGGUAGAGUCCAGUGUGUUGGGUAGAGUCCAGUGUGUUGGGUAGAGUCCUGUGUGUUGGGUAGAGUCCAGUGUGUUGGGUAGAGUCCAGUGUGUUGGGUAGAGUCCAGUGUGUUGGGUAGAGUCCAGUGUGUUGGGUAGAGUCCAGUUUGUUGGAUAGAGUCCAGUGUGUAAAUAGAGUCCCGUGUGUAAAUAGAGUCCAGUGUGUAAAUAGAGUCCUGUGUGUAGAUAGAGUCCAGUGUGUAGAUAGAGUCCAGUGUGUGUGUAGAGUCCAGUGUGUGGGUAGAGUCCAGUGUGUUGGGUAGAGUAGUGUGUUGGGUAGAGUAGUGUGUGGGUAGAGUCCAGUGUGUGUGUAGAGUCCAGUGUGUGGGGGUAGAGUCCAGUUUGUUGGGUAGAGUCCAGUGUGUUGGGUAGAGUCCAGUUUGUUGGGUAGAGUCCAGUGUGUUGGGUAGAGUCCAGUGUGUGUG